AUUGAACGCUGGCGGCAUGCCUUACACAUGCAAGUCGAACGGCAGCACGGGAGCAAUCCUGGUGGCGAGUGGCGAACGGGUGAGUAAUAUAUCGGAACGUGCCCAGUCGUGGGGGAUAACGUAGCGAAAGCUACGCUAAUACCGCAUACGAUCUAUGGAUGAAAGCGGGGGAUCGCAAGACCUCGCGCGAUUGGAGCGGCCGAUAUCAGAUUAGGUAGUUGGUGGGGUAAAAGCCUACCAAGCCUUCGAUCUGUAGCUGGUCUGAGAGGACGACCAGCCACACUGGAACUGAGACACGGUCCAGACUCCUACGGGAGGCAGCAGUGGGGAAUUUUGGACAAUGGGCGCAAGCCUGAUCCAGCAAUGCCGCGUGCAGGAUGAAGGCCUUCGGGUUGUAAACUGCUUUGUACGGUAACGAAACGGACGGGCGUCUAACAUAGCUGUCAAUGACGGUACC
This 457-nucleotide ribosomal RNA is filed under the name uncultured bacterium. RNAcentral describes it as "bacterial SSU rRNA". It matches the Rfam family "Bacterial small subunit ribosomal RNA", at positions 30 to 479 of the family's 1533-position model. The record is from RNAcentral.